GACGUAGGGAGCAAGCGUUGUCCGGAAUUACUGGGCGUAAAGAGCUCGUAGGCGGGAGCGUGCGUCUGAAAGGAGAUCUCAGGGCUCAACUCUGGGGCUUUUUCAGAUACGGCGCUUCUUGAGUGUAACAGAGGAAAGCAGAAUUCCCGGUGUAGCGGUGAAAUGCGUAGAUAUCGGGAGGAAUACCAGUGGCGAAGGCGGCUUUCUGGGUUACCACUGACGCUGAGGAGCGAAAGCGUGGGGAGCGAACGGGAUUAGAUACCCCAGUA
RNAcentral lists this ribosomal RNA (269 nucleotides) under uncultured bacterium. RNAcentral describes it as "partial 16S ribosomal RNA". It matches the Rfam family "Bacterial small subunit ribosomal RNA", at positions 524 to 792 of the family's 1533-position model. The record is from RNAcentral.